UUGCACAACAACAGACAGGAUAUCCA
Molecule: non-coding RNA, 26 nt
Filed under: Mus musculus (house mouse)
Lineage: Eukaryota; Metazoa; Chordata; Mammalia; Rodentia; Muridae
Source: RNAcentral